RNAcentral lists this ribosomal RNA (375 nucleotides) under uncultured bacterium. RNAcentral describes it as "bacterial SSU rRNA". It matches the Rfam family "Bacterial small subunit ribosomal RNA", at positions 523 to 897 of the family's 1533-position model. The record is from RNAcentral.
AUACGUAGGGAGCGAGCGUUGUCCGGAUUUACUGGGUGUAAAGGGUGCGUAGGCGGCUCUGCAAGUCAGGUGUGAAAACUAUCGGCUCAACUGAUAGACUGCAUUUGAAACUGUGGAGCUUGAGUGAAGUAGAGGCAGAUGGAAUUCCCGGUGUAGCGGUGAAAUGCGUAGAGAUCGGGAGGAACACCAGUGGCGAAGGCGAUCUGCUGGGCUUUAACUGACGCUGAGGCACGAAAGCAUGGGUAGCAAACAGGAUUAGAUACCCUGGUAGUCCAUGCCGUAAACGAUGAUUACUAGGUGUGGGGGGUCUGACCCCCUCCGUGCCGGAGUUAACACAAUAAGUAAUCCACCUGGGAAGUACGACCGCAAGGUUGA